UUAAGUGACUAAGCGUACACGGUGGAUGCCUAGGCAGUCAGAGGCGAAGAAGGACGUAGUAACUUGCGAUAAGCCCAGAUAAGGCAGUAACAGCCACUUGAGUCUGGGAUUUCCGAAUGGGGAAACCCACUGGCAUAAGCCAGUAUCAUUAACUGAAUCCAUAGGUUAAUGAGGCGAACUCGGGGAACUGAAACAUCUAAGUACCCGAAGGAAAAGAAAUCAAUUGAGAUUCCGGCAGUAGCGGCGAGCGACCCCGGAGCAGCCCUUAAGCUUGUUAUGCGUUAGUGGAAGCCUCUGGAAAGUGGCGCGAUACAGGGUGACAGCCCCGUACACGACAACGCACAAUGAGUGAAAACGAGUAGGACGGGACACGUGUUAUCUUGUCUGAAGAUGGGGGGACCAUCCUCCAAGGCUAAAUACUCCUGACUGACCGAUAGUGAACCAGUACCGUGAGGGAAAGGCGAAAAGAACCCCUGUGAGGGGAGUGAAAUAGAACCUGAAACCGUGUACGUACAAGCAGUGGGAGCCUCCUUGUGGGGUGACUGCGUACCUUUUGUAUAAUGGGUCAGCGACUUACGUUAUGUAGCAAGGUUAACCGAAUAGGGGAGCCGUAGGGAAACCGAGUCUUAACUGGGCGAUGUAGUUGCAUGACGUAGACCCGAAACCGGGUGAUCUAGCCAUGGGCAGGUUGAAGAUUGAGUAACAUCAAUUGGAGGACCGAACCGACUAAUGUUGAAAAAUUAGCGGAUGACUUGUGGCUAGGGGUGAAAGGCCAAUCAAACCCGGAGAUAGCUGGUUCUCCCCGAAAGCUAUUUAGGUAGCGCCUCGGACGAAUACUACUGGGGGUAGAGCACUGUUAAGGCUAGGGGGUCAUCCCGACUUACCAACCCUUUGCAAACUCCGAAUACCAGUAAGUAGUAUCCGGGAGACACACGGCGGGUGCUAACGUCCGUCGUGGAGAGGGAAACAACCCAGACCGCCAGCUAAGGUCCCAAAGUUAUCGCUAAGUGGGAAACGAUGUGGGAAGGCUCAGACAGCCAGGAUGUUGGCUUAGAAGCAGCCAUCAUUUAAAGAAAGCGUAAUAGCUCACUGGUCGAGUCGGCCUGCGCGGAAGAUGUAACGGGGCUAAGCGAUACACCGAAGCUGCGGCAGUGUGAUUUAUCACAUUGGGUAGGGGAGCGUUCUGUAAGCCGUAGAAGGUGUGCUGUAAGGCAUGCUGGAGGUAUCAGAAGUGCGAAUGCUGACAUGAGUAACGAUAAAGGGGGUGAAAAACCUCCUCGCCGGAAGACCAAGGGUUCCUGUCCAACGUUAAUCGGGGCAGGGUAAGUCGGCCCCUAAGGCGAGGCCGAAAGGCGUAGUCGAUGGGAAACGGGUUAAUAUUCCCGUACUGCUGAUAACUGCGAUGGGGGGACGGAGAAGGCUAGGUGGGCCUCGCGACGGUUGUCGAGGUUCAAGUGCGUAGGUAGGUGAGUUAGGCAAAUCCGGCUUGCUAUAUACUGAGACACGAUGUCGAGACACCACGGUGUUGAAGUCAUUGAUGCCCUGCUUCCGGGAAAAGCCUCUAAGCUUCAGGUUAUCAGUAACCGUACCCCAAACCGACACAGGUGGUCGGGUAGAGAAUACCAAGGCGCUUGAGAGAACUCGGGUGAAGGAACUAGGCAAAAUGGUACCGUAACUUCGGGAGAAGGUACGCUGCCCGCGGUGAAGUCCCUGGCGGAUGGAGCUAUGGGCAGUCGCAGAUACCAGGUGGCUGCAACUGUUUAUUAAAAACAUAGCACUGUGCAAACUCGAAAGAGGACGUAUACGGUGUGACGCCUGCCCGGUGCUGGAAGGUUAAUUGAUGGGGUUAUCCUUAGGGAGAAGCUCUUGAUCGAAGCCCCAGUAAACGGCGGCCGUAACUAUAACGGUCCUAAGGUAGCGAAAUUCCUUGUCGGGUAAGUUCCGACCUGCACGAAUGGCGUAAUGAUGGCCACGCUGUCUCCACCCGAGACUCAGUGAAAUUGAAAUCGCAGUGAAGAUGCUGUGUACCCGCGGCUAGACGGAAAGACCCCGUGAACCUUUACUACAGCUUGGCACUGAACAUUGAGCCUACAUGUGUAGGAUAGGUGGGAGGCUUUGAAGCGGUGACGCCAGUUGCCGUGGAGCCAUCCUUGAAAUACCACCCUUGUAUGUUUGAUGUUCUAACUUAGCCCCAUUAUCUGGGGUGAGGACAGUGCCUGGUGGGUAGUUUGACUGGGGCGGUCUCCUCCCAAAGCGUAACGGAGGAGCACGAAGGUGGGCUAAUCACGGUCGGACAUCGUGAGGUUAGUGCAAUGGCAAAAGCCCGCUUGACUGCGAGAAUGACGGUUCGAGCAGGUGCGAAAGCAGGUCAUAGUGAUCCGGUGGUUCUGAAUGGAAGGGCCAUCGCUCAACGGAUAAAAGGUACUCCGGGGAUAACAGGCUGAUACCGCCCAAGAGUUCAUAUCGACGGCGGUGUUUGGCACCUCGAUGUCGGCUCAUCACAUCCUGGGGCUGAAGUCGGUCCCAAGGGUAUGGCUGUUCGCCAUUUAAAGUGGUACGCGAGCUGGGUUUAGAACGUCGUGAGACAGUUCGGUCCCUAUCUGCCGUGGGCGUUGGAGAAUUGAGAGGGGCUGCUCCUAGUACGAGAGGACCGGAGUGGACGAACCUCUGGUGUUCGGGUUGUCACGCCAGUGGCAUUGCCCGGUAGCUAAGUUCGGAAUUGAUAACCGCUGAAAGCAUCUAAGCGGGAAGCGAGCCUCGAGAUGAGUUCUCCCUAAGGCUAAAAGCCUUCUAAAGGGUUGUUGGAGACGACGACGUAGAUAGGUCAGGUGUGUAAGUGCUGUGAGGCAUUGAGCUAACUGAUACUAAUUGCCCGUGAGGCUUAACCCU
This 2889-nucleotide ribosomal RNA is filed under the name Grimontia hollisae. Its description in RNAcentral is "bacterial LSU rRNA". It matches the Rfam family "Bacterial large subunit ribosomal RNA". The record is from RNAcentral. Lineage: Bacteria; Pseudomonadati; Pseudomonadota; Gammaproteobacteria; Vibrionales; Vibrionaceae.